GGCGCGCGGAGCUGGCACCUUGGCGCUGUUGGUGGCGGCGGAGACAGCUGUGAAGUGUGAGGUUCUUUGUCUGCUGGCAGCUAGGGGCGACGAGGCGGGACGUCAUGGAAGUGAAGGAUGCCAAUUCUGCGCUUCUCAGUAACUACGAGGUAUUUCAGUUACUAACUGAUCUGAAAGAGCAGCGUAAAGAAAGUGGAAAGAAUAAACACAGCUCUGGGCAACAGAACUUGAACACUAUCACCUAUGAAACGUUAAAAUACAUAUCAAAAACACCAUGCAGGCACCAGAGUCCUGAAAUUGUCAGAGAAUUUCUCACAGCAUUGAAAAGCCACAAGUUGACCAAGUAAGUAAAUCUUUUAAGUAGGAAGAGAGUGACACAUGGUGAAAUGAUAGUUGCUACAUUCGUAGCAACCGUGUAUUGAUAUUCGGCUGGGUUUGGAUUUAAAGAAGGAUUAUAG
Molecule: small RNA, 458 nt
Filed under: Pan troglodytes (chimpanzee)
Lineage: Eukaryota; Metazoa; Chordata; Mammalia; Primates; Hominidae
Description: retained intron
Source: RNAcentral